This 2277-nucleotide long non-coding RNA is filed under the name Homo sapiens (human). RNAcentral's name for it is "HSALNT0297986". The record is from RNAcentral. Lineage: Eukaryota; Metazoa; Chordata; Mammalia; Primates; Hominidae.
CUGCCGUCAUGUAAGAAGUGCCUUUCACCACCCGCCAUGAUUCUGAGGCCUCCUCAACCAUGUGGAACUGGAAAGAGGCUGAGGUCCACGGAUAAAUGAUUUGGGAAGCUCACACUGCAGGGGUCUAAGCCAGCCCUGAACACCAAGAUGUUUCACUCUGGCCUCAGAGAAGAGUACUGUCUGACGCCCUGUGGGCACUGAGCAGGGCUAGGGUUGAAACCUUCAGGAGGCUAUGAAACCCCAUUGUUAGGUGAACUGUAACUCCGAUACCCAGACGGGUAAAUUUAGGUCUUAUUACUCUGCACUUCACUCAUGUUUCUGAAGUUUCUCUUCUGCCUUCCAAUGUGUAUGUCUAUCUUCCCCAUGAUCCUAAAAGGGCCUCAGCAGAAGAAUGUCCUCCCCUCCAUCUGGAAGGCUCCUGAAUCUAGGGAAGCUCUGUAGCCUCUCUGACCCCAACCCUUUCAAAGCCUCUAACGGCAGGGUACCAAGUGGGGAGCCAAGUUGACAGCUGAAGAAGAGCAAAUGGACACACCCUGAAAAUUCAGCUUGGGGUCCACUAUCACAGGACUUGGCUGUUCUUGCUGUGCGCCAGGAAGCCAGCCUUGGUCCCCUCUUCCUGGGCAGCAGUGGAGCCACUGGAUCCAAGACAUAGGUUCCAUCUCCCAUCUUCCUCUCCCCUUAAAGGCCCUUGGGUUGGAAUGACAUCAAGAAGAUGCUGACAUCUUAGGACAGAGAGAUGAAGUGGAACAGGCAAAGAUGGGGUAGAGUCACCUGAAUGGGGGAAUAAAGACAUUUAACUCUUCAACACAGGCACUGCACUAAAGGCUGGGGAUGUGAGAUGAAGGAGACCUGCUCCCUGACCUCACAGACCAGCAAAGAGAGAGACAGCUACAAGAACACAGAGGUCAGACUCAAAGGAGGGCAGGAAUCAUUCUGUGAGGGUAGAAAGCCAAGGAAGGUUUCUCAAGGAGAAUGAGGAGGUCCAUUAUUACAUAAUCACCAGGCAAACCAAGGGUAGCCCCAUUUGCUCUCCUGGCAGCUGAGCCCUCUCCAGGAAUUGCUUUUAGUCCAAGAGAGCUGCCUCACCCACUGACAUGGCCCCUUCCUGGAGGCAGCCCACAUCAAUAACUGGUCAAGAGGUAGAAGGUUAUAAACAUCCAGUUCCCUUGACUCAAGGCAGGACAACUGUGAAGGGUGUCUCAAUUCAAGAGCAACAUGGGGCCAACUAGGUGAUGCCUCUGCCACAACUGCCCAGCAGUCCAAUUUUCCCCUUGCUUAAUCUUGUUUGCCUAAUUCCUUCAAAGUUGUCCAUCCCACGAGCACUUGCCAGUGAACUACCUGUUCACAAAUUUCCAUCUCCAAGUCCAUUUCCCGUAUUUCCACCAUCUCAGCCAGGCACAAGGCACAGGCCAGAGGUUUUCAAGAACAGCAUCUCAGAAGGACACAAAUCGGACAUGUAAGUUACCUACAUUUUAAACAAGCAAAGCACUGAUUAUUUGUCAAAGAUGCAAGCUUUCUCCCAGAGCCCUCUGAAAGUUGUGUGAGUCCCUGAAGAAUCUACCUGGAAAAUUCCAUUGCCCCGAGGAGCUUUCUCAAAAUGUAUUCCUGCCACCUGCUUCCCUGCGUAUAAUCCUCGCUCUCCACAAGUCUGUUUAUCCAUAGACACAAAAUGUUAGAGCUGUCACCAGGAAUACAAAUGGGGAGAAAGCCACCCUCAAGCCAAUCAAUAAUGCUGGAGACGAAGCAACUGCAGCACUCUGCGGGUCAUAGAUUAUGAAGCACAAAGAAAGGAAACUCAACUCCUAGCAUUGUAUUGUAGCUGAUGGUCAGUAAGGAAAGCUCAUGUUCCAAUCUGAUUCUAUUUUAGCCACUUGGCAGAAAAUCAUCACUGAGGCACAAAUGAGAUGGCCUUGAAGGUGAAUAAAAAUCUUGGGUUCACUUUCCAAGACUUCAACAUCACAGAACUUUUCAGGAGCUCUGCCUCUCUGCAAGGCUUGCACGUCUAUUUACAAAGGCAAAAGCUUCUGUAAAGUACCUGGGUUACCAAAGCAGGCUGGGAGCUGAUAAUCCAAUUUGUUUUCCCUUCAAUAAAUCGUUCAUUAAUGUUGCUAAGAAAUUUACAGCUUAAAAUGGUUUUAUGACUAGAGAUUAAAAAAGAACCGUUCCAAUAAAUUUCAUAUAACUGAGAAGAUUCCUGUCAUUUUGAUUAAGUAGUUCCUUGUGAUGAUAAAGUUUUAUCUUGAAUAAUGAAGGGGGAAAGCAUUAAUCACUUUAAAG